AUUCAGAUUUAAUGGAAACUAUUGGAAUUUAAAAUGCAUAACAUUUUAUCUGGUUGAAGCCAAUCCUGUGGGAGUGGUGCAGCCCACGCUGAGCGUCCUCCCUCCCUCCAGAGUGGAGCUGGAGCAGGGCAGUGCUACACUAGUGUGUGUGGCCAGUGGGGGCUUCCCCUCAGACUGGAAGCUUGGCUGGAAGGUGGGGUGCAGCAGCAGGUCUGUGGGGGUGUCCGAUAGCCUGGUGGUCCUGGGGAAAGAUGGCCACUACAGCUGGAGCAGCACCUUGACCCUCCCUGCAGACCAGUGGAGGAAGGCGGGCUCAGUGAGCUGUGAGGCCAGUAAGAAUGGCCAGACGCAGCCUGUCACUCAAACCCUGAAUCCUGGAGAGUGUUCAGAGUAGAGAGGCUCCAGCAUGGAGGUACUGGAGAAUACAGAUCUCCUCUGACACGUCUGCUUUAUGUCUCUCUGCCUCAGGUGACACUGCAGCUUUUGUUGAUUUGCAUUAACAUAACAAGUGUUUGAUUCAUUAACAUGAUGCUCUCUGGAUUUCUGGAUUUCUCUCUGCCUUCUGAUUUUUACCCCUUGUUUGGAUUUGUCACAUGCUGAAUACUGAAUAAAGAUUUAAAAAAUAAA
Molecule: long non-coding RNA, 627 nt
Organism: Gadus morhua (Atlantic cod)
Lineage: Eukaryota; Metazoa; Chordata; Actinopteri; Gadiformes; Gadidae
Exons: 2
Source: RefSeq, a predicted model, not a curated record